ACCUCGGCCUCCCAAAGUUCUGGGAUUACAGGCGUGAGCCACCGUGCCCGGCCAUAGCUCUUUGGUAUGUAAGUUAGAACAGGCUAAGCAGUAGCAACCCCCUAAUGAUUUAGGCCACACAUGGAUGUGAUAAGUCAGGAAAAAGGAGCAAGCCAAGAUAGAGGACAGUGAGCUGCCCAUGGCAUACAAGCAACUCACAUAACAUCUGGGUAAUGACUAUAGAAGAUGACUUUACUCCACCUGGAGCAUCUGAUUAUACCUGGGCUCUUUGCAGUACAUGUUAAUGACCCAGACCACAAACAGAGUAUCGUGGCCAAGCUGUUCUUGCACUGAAUUAUAAAAGAGACUUGAGGGUUUGUGCAAGCUGUUUGGCAAGACAAGGUUGGCUUGGAGUAAGAACUUCUGGAAAUAUCAGAAAUGAACUCAGAAGAGAAGAAGACUAGGCUGCCUGAAGAGAUCUCAAGAAUAAUCGUAGAACGUGCUGAGAAUUCAACAUUCUGAGGUAUAAUAUCUCAGUUAGCCUAUGAAGAGAAUGUUGUGGAUCUCCCUCCAACUCACUUCACAAGUAUUUAGAUUCAAGGCUGGGCACAGGAAGCAGAUGGCAGGUACAAUUGCUGAGAGUUGCAAUCUGGUCUCAGCAAAACUGGUAUCACAGGGACAUAAUUCACUUAUGCUGACGUGCAGGUGCUUUUGCGAAAACAUUGUCGUGUAGCAGAAAGAGCAUGGGCUUUGGAGUCACACUGACCUAGGUUGAAGUCUUAGAUGAGUUCUCACUUUAGUUUUCUUUCUUUAAGAUGUAGAUAACUCCUACCUUGCACCAUGAUUUGAGGACUAAAUAAGGAAAAUAAUAUUAAGUUCUAUAGCAACCCUGAAACACACACAUUAAAAGUAUGUCUUUUCUUCUUCUGUCUGUGGUGCUUCCUUUAAGCACCCCUUCCCCUCCUUCACCCUCAAGGCUGAUGCUCCCAUACCUCCAGCUGAGUUUCCAGCCAUCUUGCUCCAGCACCUUGAAGGUCAAGUUGGCAGCAAACUCAACUCACAUGCUGCAAGUCUUCCAUUUGGGAGGGUCCUGCCUUACAAAACUACUUCCUAGACACGACGCUAA
Long non-coding RNA from Homo sapiens (human), 1105 nucleotides. RefSeq lists it as uncharacterized. The record is from RefSeq and is a predicted model, not a curated record. NCBI's taxonomy places the organism in Eukaryota, Metazoa, Chordata, Mammalia, Primates, Hominidae. The transcript has 4 exons.